Molecule: ribosomal RNA, 460 nt
Filed under: uncultured bacterium
Lineage: Bacteria
Description: partial 16S ribosomal RNA
Rfam family: Bacterial small subunit ribosomal RNA
Source: RNAcentral
CCUACGGGUGGCAGCAGUGAGGAAUAUUGGUCAAUGGACGCAAGUCUGAACCAGCCAUGCCGCGUGCGGGAAGACGGCUCUAUGUGUUGUAAACCGCUUUUGUACGAGGGUAAACGCAGAUACGCGUAUCUGUCUGAAAGUAUCGUACGAAUAAGGAUCGGCUAACUCCGUGCCAGCAGCCGCGGUAAUACGGAGGAUUCAAGCGUUAUCCGGAUUUAUUGGGUUUAAAGGGUGCGUAGGCGGUCGGAUAAGUUAGCGGUGAAAUCCCGAGGCUCAACUUCGGAAUUGCCUCUGAUACUGUUCGGCUAGAGAGUAGUUGCGGUAGGCGGAAUGUAUGGUGUAGCGGUGAAAUGCUUAGAGAUCACACAGAACACCGAUUGCGAAGGCAGCUUACCAAGCUACUUCUGACGUUGAGGCACGAAAGCGUGGGGAGCGAACAGGAUUAGAUACCCGGGUAGUC